CAGUGGUUCUCGUGGAUCGAACCAUUUAUUAAUCAUAUUACGGCAGUUAAUGUGCGGAUGAAACUUCACGAUCUAUUCAUAUUACAGCAGCAGGAACGACAACUAUUAUGCAGUUUAGAAAUUCUAUAUGCUACUUACUGCUGUUCCUAUACACAUAUUUUAGCUAGCUAAACAAUCUGAAGAGACUACCAUCAAAGUUAAAGUCCAUUCCUAAUUCUUGAAAAACCAUCUGAAUAACAAUGCUAGUCAGCAAACUUCCCAUUUGACCCUAUUGCUGUUGGUUAAUGAACUCCAAGGCCGCUAGCACCCUGCGCAGCAGCAAUAAUCGGCUUCAGCUUCAUUUCAUGCUCCUGAAAGACGUCGCUAGUGAUGGCGGGAGAGGGGGCACAAGAUACUGCAUAAAUAGACAGGACAUCAGAAAAGCAUUGUGUAAACAUUAACAAGGAUAAUGGAAAAUAAACAUCUGUGGCUAUGCAGACACACAUUAUCCUAUCAAUUGGCCAGAGAUAAUGAUCUGAUAAAUUGAUAUUACCCUGUCAGUCAAUUGGCCAGACACACAUUACACAACAGCCUUCAUAUAGAUAUUUUCAAUCCCAGCCCAAAUGCUAAGAUACAAGUUAAUGUCCCUUGUCUUUGAACUCACGCUCUCACAGAAAUCAAAUAUAUUACUUUCAUUACAGAAGUAAGUGACAUAGCUUUGAAUAGAACACAGUAAGUGUAGUAUAUUUAGACUCGACUUUUUAAGCAAAAGAUGCACACGGAAUAGAAUCAAGGAUGAAGCAUCAUGCCUUUGAGUUUAUUUUAAAUCUUUGAUAAAAAAAGGUUAAACAAAGAGCUUCUCCAAUUUAUUUGGAAGUCCACAGGGACACCCUGAGGUAUUUGACCAACAACCUCCUUCAUUUUCAGAGAUCCCACCCAAAAAAAGAACGAUAAAACUUUGACAUUGGCUUAUAUUUAACAUUACAGUAACCAUUCAUUUUUAGGGAAGCAUCAAAAGUAACUGAAGCAUUGUGUCAUCCAAAAUAGAAGUAUUGAAGACCGCUCUUUCAGUAGGAUAGAGAAGCGAUAUCAUUCCAAGUAUAGUACUGGAUAUAGGUACUAGACACAGCAAACAAGUGGCGACUGGAAUGUUUAGAGAUCCAGCAUAUUCAAUUUCCCAUAACCCCAUAAAUGAUCUCAAAAUAUUUCACAAAUUAUUAUCUUAAGCACGUCAUUCUUAUGAAUCAGGUAGCUCGACGAAAUCCUCAAUCACUUCCAUGCAACAUUUUGAUAAACCUAUCAAAGUUGGAUUGAAAUCGGAUCUGAAAAUAUUUUUCUAUUCCAAAUCAUACAAAAUUGAGAACUGGAAAGAGAGUGUACCCAAGGCCUGCAUCCAAUCUUGCAAGCAUACCAGUGCUUCCAUAGUGGUAGCCCGUGAAGGAAGAUCAUCCGGAUUAACUCUUUCCUAGCACUUCUUGACUGAAUCUCUCGUUGUCCAAGAAAACUCCUUCAGGAGAUAUGACAGUUGACCUAAGCUGACGGGCUAUACUUGUUACACUUUUCCUAACCUUGCAUC
This 1555-nucleotide long non-coding RNA is filed under the name Panicum hallii. RNAcentral's name for it is "long non-coding RNA (PHAL_LNC000366)". Lineage: Eukaryota; Viridiplantae; Streptophyta; Magnoliopsida; Poales; Poaceae. The record is from RNAcentral.